AUUUUAUUGUAUAAAUGAUCAUGGGGAAUGAUUCCAGAUAUUUUAAAGAUUAAACAUGUCAGGAAUAACCAUUAUACAUCAAUGGUGGAGAAAUGUAAGAAGCCAUGUUCCAAUAUUUCUUUAAUGUUUUUUUUUUUGGAUAAAAACUGCAUUAUACCUCAUUAUAUGACAAAUAAUAAAUUUUAGACAACACAAGACAAAUACUUUAUUAAAGUCGCACUACUUGUUACAUAUAAAAUAUACAGCUUUUUAAAACACAAGUUUACAACAAGAGCCACUCUAUAAAGAGUUAUGCGAGACUUUAAAAGAGGGGAGAAAGAUACCAGAGGGACAAUCAAACUCAUAGAUAAAAAAUAAACGGAGAACGCCAUAGCUAAAAAAAAAAAGACAGACAAAUAAUAGUACACAAGACAACAACAUAGAAAACUAAAGACUAAUCAACACAAACCCC
This 451-nucleotide long non-coding RNA is filed under the name Mytilus galloprovincialis (Mediterranean mussel). The record is from RNAcentral. Lineage: Eukaryota; Metazoa; Mollusca; Bivalvia; Mytilida; Mytilidae.